GCUAGAGAGUGAUUGAGUUGAUGACCAACCUCAUUUUAGCCAUCUGCACUUUGUAAAAGUUCUUUUGUCACACUUUCCAUCCAUUUCUCCUUCUGAAGAAUUUCCACAGGACAAUGUGGGGAUUUUUCAUCCAACAGCUGCACAGUGGGAGGACAGAAGGAAAGUUCAUUUUCACAGAGAUGGGUUCAGCCAGUCCUCUGCCUGGGCAGGAAAGCUGGGGCAUCUCUGCCCAAGGAAAAAGAGUUUUGGUGCUCCCUGGGACAGUGCUGGCUCAGCCAACAGCUCCUGCUGGCUCUUGGGCUCUGC
This 306-nucleotide long non-coding RNA is filed under the name Serinus canaria (Common canary). RNAcentral's name for it is "lncRNA (ENSSCAG00000003144.1)". The record is from RNAcentral. Lineage: Eukaryota; Metazoa; Chordata; Aves; Passeriformes; Fringillidae.